UUUGAAAUCUGGCCCCUCCGGGGUCCGAGUUGUAAUUUGCAGAGGAUGCUUCGGGUGCGGCCCCUGUCUAAGUGCCCUGGAACGGGCCGUCAGAGAGGGUGAGAAUCCCGUCUUGGGCAGGGUGCCCGUGCCCGUGUGAAGCUCCUUCAACGAGUCGAGUUGUUUGGGAAUGCAGCUCUAAAUGGGUGGUAAAUUUCAUCUAAAGCUAAAUACCGGCCGGAGACCGAUAGCGCACAAGUAGAGUGAUCGAAAGAUGAAAAGCACUUUGAAAAGAGAGUUAAACAGCACGUGAAAUUGUUGAAAGGGAAGCGCUUGCAACCAGACUCGGCCUCGGGGUUCAGCCAGCAUUCGUGCUGGUGUACUUCCCCGGGGCAGGGCCAGCGUCGGUUCGGGCGGCCGGUCAAAGGCCCCAGGAAUGUAUCGUCCUCCGGGACGUCUUAUAGCCUGGGGUGCAAUGCGGCCAGCCUAGAUCGAGGAACGCG
RNAcentral lists this ribosomal RNA (482 nucleotides) under Aspergillus sp. SMDO. Its description in RNAcentral is "eukaryotic LSU rRNA". It matches the Rfam family "Eukaryotic large subunit ribosomal RNA", at positions 114 to 599 of the family's 3401-position model. Lineage: Eukaryota; Fungi; Ascomycota; Eurotiomycetes; Eurotiales; Aspergillaceae. The record is from RNAcentral.